RNAcentral lists this ribosomal RNA (492 nucleotides) under uncultured bacterium. Its description in RNAcentral is "partial 16S ribosomal RNA". It matches the Rfam family "Bacterial small subunit ribosomal RNA", at positions 29 to 507 of the family's 1533-position model. The record is from RNAcentral.
AGUGAACGCUGGCGGUAGGCCUAACACAUGCAAGUCGAACGGCAGCACAGUAAGAGCUUGCUCUUACGGGUGGCGAGUGGCGGACGGGUGAGGAAUACAUCGGAAUCUACUUUUUCGUGGGGGAUAACGUAGGGAAACUUACGCUAAUACCGCAUACGACCUACGGGUGAAAGCAGGGGAUCUUCGGACCUUGCGCGAUUGAAUGAGCCGAUGUCGGAUUAGCUAGUUGGCGGGGUAAAGGCCCACCAAGGCGACGAUCCGUAGCUGGUCUGAGAGGAUGAUCAGCCACACUGGAACUGAGACACGGUCCAGACUCCUACGGGAGGCAGCAGUAGGGAAUAUUGGACAAUGGGCGCAAGCCUGAUCCAGCAAUACCGCGUGAGUGAAGAAGGCCUUCGGGUUGUAAAGCCCUUUUGUUGGGAAAGAAAAGCAGCAGGUUAAUACCCCGCUGUUCUGACGGUACCCAAAGAAUAAGCACCGGCUAACUUCGUG